UGGCAGUUAAGGGACAAAAAUACCUAGAAGUCCACCUCCCUUGCAGUGGAGGCCAGUAUCUCCACUGACCAUUCACUCUGCCCCCACUCAUGUUUUUCCCUCAAUUAAUCUUGUCCAUAAAUUCUUUGCUCACUAGCUCCCUCUGACUGGAAGGCUUGCCCACUCCUAACACAUACAAGUUCUUUAUGGAUCGGUUCAAACCUGCCUCCUCUAGGAAGCCUUCUCUUAAUCUUAGCCCACAGGAUCCCUCCUUCCUCACAACCUAGAGCAGUUUGCAACACAUGAGAAUGCUUAAUUUUUCAGUCUGAUACAAUUAUUUUCUUCAAUCUUCCCUAAAUUUCUCAGUGGCAGAGACAGUUUCCUUCUGUUACCUCUACUUCCUGAAAGCCCCUCAGGAGGUUGGCAGGUAGUAGGCAUUGACUGAUUCUUGCCUAAGGGCCUGCUGGUUAGAAAAAGACCUAUUAGCAGUCAGUCAGACAAUGUGGGGAUGGGCAUGUGGCUCCAGGAGGCAGUGCCUUAGGCUGCAUUUAGGUGCCCUGCACCGAAGGAGGGCCUGUUUGCCUGUGUUCUCUGCUCACAUCCAGAAAUGUGAGCUCUGCAUCAGGGGCUGUCCAUGACAGGACAUGUCCUCACGUCAGGGACCAGUACAGCUGGUCCGAUCUGGAUGCGAGCCCUAGAAGGCAGGUACUGUAUCAUAUCUUGCACUUCUCCACCAUACCUUCUUGAGGUACUCAGUGCUGUGUUGAGCAUGUGGUGUUCCACAUAUUCUCAUUAUUUUUUGAAUCAAAUAACUGAUUCAGUUUAGUUGAACUCUGAAGGGGGUAAAGAGGGAACUAUUUUGAUGUUCCAAUUUUUUGUUUCUGUUUAAUAAGCUAAGUGUGGUUCUCACUCCAAUUUGCUUACCACCUUUUCUAUUUUAUCAUCGUUCUUCUACACUAGACUCUACACUCCAAGAAGGCAGAGAUGAUCUUUUUCAUAACCAUAUUCCUGUCACCUAGCAUAGUACCUGGGAGAUAGCUCUUCUUGCUGCCCUCAUCGAUUCCCAGAGAUGCCUCCCUUUACGGCUGAGCUCAGCCCUCAACUCCAGGCCUGCAUCUCCUCCUGGAUGUCCUACAGGCACAUGCCGCAAAGGGCAACCUGCAUCAUCUCCCAAACGCGUCUAUGUGCUGUUUCCUAUCCAGUAAAUGGUAUCACCUGCCUGGUAA
Long non-coding RNA from Cercocebus atys (sooty mangabey), 1205 nucleotides. RefSeq lists it as uncharacterized. NCBI's taxonomy places the organism in Eukaryota, Metazoa, Chordata, Mammalia, Primates, Cercopithecidae. The record is from RefSeq and is a predicted model, not a curated record. The transcript has 2 exons.